CCUACGGGAGGCAGCAGUAAGGAAUAUUGGUCAAUGGACGAAAGUCUGAACCAGCCAUGCCGCGUGAAGGAUUAAGGCCCUCUGGGUUGUAAACUUCUUUUAUCUGGGACGAAAAAAGGGUAUUCUUACUCACUUGACGGUACCAGAGGAAUAAGCACCGGCUAACUCCGUGCCAGCAGCCGCGGUAAUACGGAGGGUGCAAGCGUUAUCCGGAUUUACUGGGUUUAAAGGGUGCGUAGGUGGGCUUGUAAGUCAGUGGUGAAAUCUCCGGGCUUAACCCGGAAACUGCCAUUGAUACUAUAGGUCUUGAAUUAUCUGGAGGUAAGCGGAAUAUGUCAUGUAGCGGUGAAAUGCUUAGAUAUGACAUAGAACACCAAUUGCGAAGGCAGCUUACUACGGAUAUAUUGACACUGAGGCACGAAAGCGUGGGGAUCAAACAGGAUUAGAUACCCUGGUAGUCCACGCCCUAAACGAUGGAUACUCGACAUCAGCGAUACACUGUUGGUGUCUGAGCGAAAGCAUUAAGUAUCCCACCUGGGAAGUACGAUCGCAGAUUGAAACUCAAAGGAAUUGACGGCUGAGACGNGACGAGACGACGACGAGGAGGAGG
Molecule: ribosomal RNA, 610 nt
Filed under: uncultured bacterium
Lineage: Bacteria
Description: bacterial SSU rRNA
Rfam family: Bacterial small subunit ribosomal RNA
Source: RNAcentral